Molecule: ribosomal RNA, 253 nt
Filed under: uncultured bacterium
Lineage: Bacteria
Description: partial 16S ribosomal RNA
Rfam family: Bacterial small subunit ribosomal RNA
Source: RNAcentral
UACGGGGGGAGCAAGCGUUGUUCGGAUUUACUGGGCGUAAAGCGUGCGCAGGCGGUUUUGUAAGUCAGAUGUGAAAUCCCCGGGCUUAACCUGGGAACUGCGUUUGAAACUACAAGGCUAGAGUGUGGCAGAGGGGGGUGGAAUUCCACGUGUAGCAGUGAAAUGCGUAGAGAUGUGGAGGAACACCGAUGGCGAAGGCAGCCCCCUGGGUUAACACUGACGCUCAGGCACGAAAGCGUGGGGAGCAAACAGG